CCCCUAGAUGUUCUGGGCCGCACGCGCGCUACACUGAACAGUUCAACAAGUCUUAACCUUGGCCGAUAGGUCUGGGUAAUCUUUGAACGCUGUUCGUGACUGGGAUAGACCUUUGCAAUUAUGGGUCUUCAACGAGGAAUUCCUAGUAAACGCAAGUCAUCAGCUUGCAUUGAUUACGUCCCUGCCCUUUGUACACACCGUCCGUCGCACCUACCGAUUGAAUGGUCCGGUGAAAUCUCGGGACGGCGGCUUGGUCGCUUGCGUCCGACUGCUGAAACUUGAUUAAACCAUAUCAUUUAGAGGAAGGUGAAGUCGUAACA
Molecule: ribosomal RNA, 320 nt
Filed under: uncultured eukaryote
Lineage: Eukaryota
Description: partial 18S ribosomal RNA
Rfam family: Eukaryotic small subunit ribosomal RNA
Source: RNAcentral